RNAcentral lists this transfer RNA (70 nucleotides) under Cynoglossus nanhaiensis. RNAcentral describes it as "tRNA-Glu". It matches the Rfam family "tRNA". Rfam says of the family: Transfer RNA (tRNA) molecules are approximately 80 nucleotides in length. Their secondary structure includes four short double-helical elements and three loops (D, anti-codon, and T loops). Further hydrogen bonds mediate the characteristic L-shaped molecular structure. tRNAs have two regions of fundamental functional importance: the anti-codon, which is responsible for specific mRNA codon recognition, and the 3' end, to which the tRNAs corresponding amino acid is attached (by aminoacyl-tRNA synthetases). tRNAs cope with the degeneracy of the genetic code in two manners: having more than one tRNA (with a specific anti-codon) for a particular amino acid; and 'wobble' base-pairing, i.e. permitting non-standard base-pairing at the 3rd anti-codon position. The record is from RNAcentral. Lineage: Eukaryota; Metazoa; Chordata; Actinopteri; Pleuronectiformes; Cynoglossidae.
GUUCUCAUAGUUGAAGAUACAACAGUGGUUUUUCAGUCCGCCGGUUUUGGUUAAAUUCCAGAUGAGAAUU